AGAUUGAACGCUGGCGGCAGGCCUAACACAUGCAAGUCGAGCGGCAGCACGGGUACUUGUACCUGGUGGCGAGCGGCGGACGGGUGAGUAAUGCCUAGGAAUCUGCCUGGUAGUGGGGGAUAACGCUCGGAAACGGACGCUAAUACCGCAUACGUCCUACGGGAGAAAGCAGGGGACCUUCGGGCCUUGCGCUAUCAGAUGAGCCUAGGUCGGAUUAGCUAGUUGGUGAGGUAAUGGCUCACCAAGGCGACGAUCCGUAACUGGUCUGAGAGGAUGAUCAGUCACACUGGAACUGAGACACGGUCCAGACUCCUACGGGAGGCAGCAGUGGGGAAUAUUGGACAAUGGGCGAAAGCCUGAUCCAGCCAUGCCGCGUGUGUGAAGAAGGUCUUCGGAUUGUAAAGCACGUUUAAGUUGGAGAGGCAGUAAUAAUACUUGCUGUUUGACGUUCGACAGAAUAAGCAACGGCUAACUC
RNAcentral lists this ribosomal RNA (475 nucleotides) under uncultured soil bacterium. RNAcentral's name for it is "bacterial SSU rRNA". It matches the Rfam family "Bacterial small subunit ribosomal RNA", at positions 26 to 503 of the family's 1533-position model. The record is from RNAcentral.